Meleagris gallopavo (turkey) is the source of this 3889-nucleotide long non-coding RNA. The record is from Ensembl. NCBI's taxonomy places the organism in Eukaryota, Metazoa, Chordata, Aves, Galliformes, Phasianidae.
GCAUUUCUUUCUCCCAGACUCAGCCAGUCCAUCACGUCUCACUAUCGCUUUGUUAUCUGCGCCCAACUCCUCUCUCCUUACAGUAAUAGCUGCUGUUUUAAGUCCCAAGGAUAAUGGGCAAGUAGAAUAUGUACUGCUGGAAGGAAGAAGAAAGAAGGGCUUAAAUAUCCAUGCAAAGAUUUAGAAAUGGCGACAAUGCACUUCCUGAAGACUCCUUACUCAUAAAACAGUCAUUGCUCCUGAGGCCAAUGGUUUUACAAGUGGUGAUUCAAAACCUGAGAGCAUGACCUGGUACAGUUUCAGUUUCCAGCAAGUAGCUGCUAACAUGCAGUGCCUAAAGGCUGCCUCAUGUUUAUCAAGUAUGAUUGCAGAGAGAAUUCAGUGCUGGUGGAAGUGACUGGAUUCACAGCUGUGGAAAUGGAGAUGGAGACACCCUGUCUCAUGCAGCAACUGUCUGAAGGACUGCUGCAGGACCAUGCACUGCCCUUCAUCUGCUCCCUGGCAAGGCCAGGAAACCUGCUCAUGUCACCCCAUGGACCAGUUCCUGUAGGCAUUAUCUGCAGACUCUGUCAACAACAGCUUGCAAUUUCAUUCUUGCAGCUACAGCGCUGGACGUGUGGGGAUUUAAUGAGAAAUUCAGUCAUCGUCCCGAAAACCAAAUUGCGUUUAAAAUACAUUUCCACCCUGCCCUGCCAUCUUGCUUCUGUUUAGUGUGUAGACAGCUCUAUGCAUAAGGGAAUCAAACUCCUCGGUGCCCUCUGCAUCCCUCGACCUGAGUCACAGCCUUUGCAGCAGGAAAAAAUGCAGGUCCUUGCCUCAAUUUGCAGAGCAGAUUUUGAGAGCAAACCUGUCAUCACCAGUGCCCUAAGCUGAUAAUGUGUAUGGUGAGCAUGGGGAGGUUAAGAUGAGGACAUCUGGUUUGUUCUAUUUCUGGUACAAGAACAAUAUCCACCCGUCAAGGGGGAGGGCAGACAGUUCAGCAUGGUGGCAUCUCUAGCCAGCUAAAUACAACUGGGCUAUGAGUCAGUUGUCUUUCUAGCAUGGCAUCAGACAAAUAUCUGAACUGUAGCAUACAAAGGGUCCUUUGUUUCUAUUUUAAGAGCUGUGUGAACAGAGCUAGAAUACUGCAGCUAUUUUCCACUAUGGUUUAUCCCUUCACACAGUUAGAGUCUGCUCUGAUCAGGCAACAAAAUCCCAGGCUUGGAAAAAUCCUCGCCUCAUGAUCAGUAAAUUCUGCUGAGAGUAAAGCAAGGUACAAACAUGAAGAAAAAAAAAAAGAGUUGGUGGAGUGGGCGCAGAGAAAUAAAAAGAGAAAGCAGUGCAGAAGACGUCAAAAGUCAUAACUGGAAAGGAAGGAAGAUAUCAAGAAAUGCAAUUGCAAAUCAGAGGAGAGACUGGAUAAAAACAAGGCAUAGCAAGAUCUGUUAUUAAAGAAAAUGUACAGACCCAUAAAAGUGGUUGGGAGGAAAUGACAGCCUGGCUUCAAAAAAGCUAAUGCUGCUGGUCUUGAGUUGCACCAGCGGAGGUUCAGGUUGGAUAUGAGGAAAAAUUUCUUCUCAGAAAGAGUGAUAAUGCACUGGCACAGGUUGCCCAGGGAGGUGGUGGAGUCACUGUCCCUGAGGUGCUCAAGAGCCAUGGAGAUGUGGCACUAAGGGACAUGGUUAGUGGGGGACGAUGGUUUGCUGGUUGGACUCCACGAUCUUAGUAUUUUGUUGGUUUUGUUGUGGUUUUUUUUUCAUAUCUUAAUGAUUUUCUGAUGAUUUUAUAAUUCUUUAGAUCAGCUGGACCUGUCAUGGCCCAGCCUCAAUGGCAGGGCACCUCUGGCCUGGAGAAAAAGCUCCAGGUGAGACCCAACAUCUUUUUUGGUGAAAGCUCCCCUCUAGGAAGUGGUUCCAAUCCCCCAGUGCCGAAUGUCUGAAUGUCUCUGGGCCCCACCAGAAAAGGAACCACCAGCAAGAAAGGAGGUCUUUUCCACCUGCAGUCUGCCUGGCUCCAGAUCUUCUCCUCUGCUUCUCACAGAAAUGAGCUUUUUCUUCAUGCCAGGCUAAAAACCUGCAGGUCUUUCUUCCUAACUUCUGAAUUUCAUGAAGCAACCUGAGAAAUGUGGAGUCUCUGAUGCUGUUUCCUGAGGCAAAGCAUUUAAUUCUGCAGCACAAUGAUCUUUUGAAGUCUGUUAAAAAAUGGCCCAUUCUGCUCCAAAGGCAGGAAGUAAAACUUAAGGCGUCAAAUCAUAGUACUGCCAUUCACCAAAGGCAGACAGCACAAUUCAAAAGACUGACAAUAACAUCCUGCAAAUAGUAAUAUUUUUUUUUCUCAGAAUUUGUCCAUAAUUGACUAAUUUCCAGCAGGGAAAAGAAAUAAUGAGAAGCUGCUCAUCUCUUGGCCCAGGCCAGCAGCAAUGCUGUGGGCUGUAGCUAGCUAGCAAAUUGCACCAGCUCAGUCCCUCCAGGGCUAGGUUUUAAGUGUUAAGCUCUUGCAGCUCUGCCACCACUGGAGUGUGCCUGUGGGACCUUGUUCCAAAUCUUUGCAGCACGUCAUUUGCCCCCGAGAGAGUAUUUCUUGUUUAUGUUUCAGAGAAAAUGUUGCUUUUUUUUCUCCCAAUCAAUUCCCUAACAUAAACGUCCUUGGCGCAGAAUUUCUAACAUUGACAACACUGUACAUCUUUACCUCUCCAGGGUAUUGCUUUCUUCUUUGCAAUAAAAUAGGUCUGCUGCAGUGGGAAAAUUCCCAACCUUAACUUACACACAGCAGCUCUUCUUUUCUUGGGAAGCAAUAAAGAGAUACACUAGCAACUGUUCUCUGUAUUUAUUUUAUUAUUCACACAAAUGUGAAUCACUAAUCAGCAUCUAUCUUAAAUCACCAUAAACUUCCCGACUAGCUUGCUUUGUCUUUUUCUCCAGGCAGCCAGCCCAGCUGGUUCCCAUAGGUACUAGCAAAAUAAAUCCCUGGGAGAGAGAUCUAACAUUUGAUUCUUGCAAGCAAAAGCUUCUAGUACUACAGCCCAAUAAAACAUCAGUCAGCGCCUGGCAGUGUUUCUUUCUUCUGCUGCAUCAGCCCAGCCCCUCCCUGAUCUGCAUUCCCUCCAGCAGGCAGAAGUCUAAUUGAAAUAUUGACCAAAAUAAAACCAAUUCCCAUAAAUAUGUACUGUUACCAUGAGCUAUAAUUUUGUUCAUUCAUUAUUACUCACAGUGACAGCCUGAGCCCAGGAUGAGUAAGGGCUGCGAUGGCAGCCUUCAAGGAUGGUCCGUCCCUUUUCACAGGGGUUCUGUACUCGUGCAGCAUGUAAAGAGAGGGCAACAUCAGCUGGGAGAGCUCUGCUGGCAGUAAUGGCACCGCAUUGAUUUUUGCUCAUUGAGCUCCAAGCUCCUCAUGCUGAAAGGGAGAAUGUUGCCAUCUGCAUUGCAUAUCCGGGGGCUUUUUAAGCUCCCUUCAUUAGGUCGUACUUAGAGACAAUGCUCGCUCUUGAUUCAGAAGCUAUGCACAAACAUCUUAAAUGCAUUCACCAAGCUUCUCCCUGUGGACAAAAGACAGCUCUAAGGGCAGAAACUGGAACAUGACUGGUGUCACAGCCCAUCUCCGUCACACACCUGUCACUGUAUGUGACAGAGAAGAAAAUAGGACCUGGGACAGUACUUUGUGAUAGAAUAAGGUGUUGUAGAUAUUUGUUGUUCAACUCUGGGACCAAACAGCCUUCAAGAGAAAAGACUGACCGUGUGCUAAAUUGCACACUGCCUGCUUCUGUUCCUCUUGGGUUGCUUCCUGAGCUGGCCCAAAUGUGCUGUCUGAAAAAUGACUGACAGGGAGGCUUGAAGGGAAAGAGAAUAGGAGAUGGAGUAUCCUGCUGCCAUUUGUGACAGCCAGGGAGGGCUGUAACACGCACUGCAGGCUG